Molecule: long non-coding RNA, 833 nt
Filed under: Homo sapiens (human)
Lineage: Eukaryota; Metazoa; Chordata; Mammalia; Primates; Hominidae
Description: HSALNT0344446
Source: RNAcentral
AUGAAAAAUACAUGCUUUCUUAUCCUGCGGAACAGUGGGAAAACCUGCUUGAAGAAAAGAAAUGGCAAGAUCAUGACCUGGUUACCGGACUGGAACUGAGUGCUCCGUGGAACUGAGGCCUCUCUUCCUCUUGCACUUCUGCAGGAUAGGAAGGGGAUGCUUUGAGUUGGCUUGGCCUGUGUCUCCUUCCUUGUUUGAUUGACAUGGGCGGGCCAUCCUGUUAUAUGUCCCACCUCUGUUUGCUUCCUGUCUUUGGACCAUUCAGUGAUUCUCAAGUUGGGCUGCAUGUGAGCAUCAUUUGGGAUUUUUCUUUAAAUUUCAAAGCCUAGGUUUCACCCCAGUGCAAUUAAAUCAGACUCCCUAGGGUGGAGCUCUGGCAGUAGCCUUUAAAAAACCCGCAGAAAAGAUUUGGUGAUUCCAGUCCACAGCCAAGAUUGCGGAACCACUGGUCUAUGUCGGUUCCCUUCCUUAUUGAUGCUAUGUGUUCUGGCAAAGUUGGGUGUAAUGUGAAUUUUGGGGAAAGAAUUUCUUGCACUUUGUUGUGAUUAAACUCAGAACAAAUAACUAUAAAAAGUAUUAGCCACUAAACUGAGUUGACAGUCUUUGGUAAAUUAAGCAGUUAAAGUUGGUGACAUUCUAAACAUUUUUGUUGCACUUUGAAAACGUGGGUGUAUAUCCUAUAUACUGGGUUCUAUUUGUUGUCCUCUAUCUCUUCUUUCUCUUCUACCACAGAGUCAUCUCCUAGAUAAGUAUCUCCUGACACUCACUUACAGCCCUCUCUAUUUAGCUUUUCUCUCCUUUUAUUUAUGGUUGGCACAGAAUAAAGUCACAAU